Molecule: transfer RNA, 64 nt
Filed under: Austropallene cornigera
Lineage: Eukaryota; Metazoa; Arthropoda; Pycnogonida; Pantopoda; Callipallenidae
Description: tRNA-His
Source: RNAcentral
AUAAAAAUAGUUUAAUUUAAAAUAUUGGUUUGUGGAGUCAAAGAUUUAUUAUUUAAUUUUUAUU